RNAcentral lists this ribosomal RNA (253 nucleotides) under uncultured bacterium. RNAcentral's name for it is "partial 16S ribosomal RNA". It matches the Rfam family "Bacterial small subunit ribosomal RNA", at positions 524 to 776 of the family's 1533-position model. The record is from RNAcentral.
UACGGAGGGUGCAAGCGUUAAUCGGAUUCAUUGGGCGUAAAGAGCAUGUAGGCGGAGUGGAAAGUUAGAUGUGAAAGCCCGGGGCUCAACUCCGGAUCCGCAUCUAAAACUACCAUUCUGGAGGAUGGACGGAGAAAAGGGAAUUCCACGUGUAGCGGUGAAAUGCGUAGAUAUGUGGAAGAACACCGGUGGCGAAGGCGCUUUUCUAGUUUAUUCCUGACGCUGAGAUGCGAAAGCAAGGGGAGAAAACAGG